RNAcentral lists this unclassified non-coding RNA (461 nucleotides) under uncultured Bordetella sp. RNAcentral's name for it is "partial 16S-23S ribosomal RNA intergenic spacer". It matches the Rfam family "Bacterial small subunit ribosomal RNA", at positions 10 to 482 of the family's 1533-position model. Lineage: Bacteria; Pseudomonadati; Pseudomonadota; Betaproteobacteria; Burkholderiales; Alcaligenaceae. The record is from RNAcentral.
GGUUCGAUCAUGGCUCAGAUUGAACGCUGGCGGGAUGCUUUACACAUGCAAGUCGAACGGCAAGUAAUGGAUAUCCGGUCUGGUGGCGAGUGGCGAACGGGUGAGUAAUGUAUCGGAACGCUCAGUAGCGGGGAUAACUACGCCGAAAGCGUAGCCAAUACUGCACACCCCUGGUGCUGACCUUCGGGCCUCGCACUAAUAGAGCGGCCGAUAUCGGAUUAGCUAGUUGGUGGGGUAACGGCUCACCAAGGCGACGAUCCGUAGCUGGUUUGAGAGGACGACCAGCCACACUGGGACUGAGACAGCGUCCGCCAGAUCACGGGAGGCAGUGGGGAAUUCCUGGGAUAAUGGGGAAACCCUGAUCCAGCCAUCCCGCACGUAAGACUGGUCAUCUUCACAGGCUAAAAGCACUUUAUGAGGAAAGAAACGACACGGGAUAAUACCCCGUGCAACUGACGGUA